RNAcentral lists this long non-coding RNA (706 nucleotides) under Olea europaea subsp. europaea. The record is from RNAcentral. Lineage: Eukaryota; Viridiplantae; Streptophyta; Magnoliopsida; Lamiales; Oleaceae.
CCCUCCAAGAGUAGAACCCAGCCCGCCGCUCAAUCAAGAUUCAUCGGCGCAUUCUUCCCCCCACAAAUACAAACCAGUCCGCCAUCCACCGCUCAAUCAAGAUUCACCGACACAUUCUUCUCCCCAAAAUCCUUUUGUAGCCGUUGUCAAAAUAUAGUGCAGAUUCAAUCCAGGUUAGUUCUCUGCAAUCUUCGGGUUUCAAUUUUAGUUGUGGGAAAUGCUUUUUCAUUGUUGGCCUGAGUUGGCCGAUUGGGUCUUGAUAUAGGGACUCAAAAUUAGCUUCAAUUAUGGGCAUCCCUUUUUCUGUCCCAUUAAAAUGAGUAUUCUUAGGAAAAGAUCUCUAGGUAACUGAUUUAUUAUUUUCUGCCACUUUUGGAUGAAGUUUGUAGCACCUUGUUCUAAGGAUCUUUAACUUGAUUACUUUAUUUUGCAGGUAGUAGGUAGUUUAUGAAGAAGUUAAGAUGCUAGUUCAAAGAAAAUGAAGCUUGCUAUUGAUUGCUAUUUCAUCAAGAUGUCAGGCUAUAUGUAAUUUGCUAAUUUGCUACUGUACUGUAAAAUAGGAAGUUGGUAUUUUGUUACUGUAUUGUAAAGCCCCACCACGUUUAGUAUCCAAUCUGCUGUGUUAUAAAAUAGGUGGCCGAAUUCUCAUCAAUUCAUUGUGGUUUAAAAUAUUCAUCUUAUUUUGCUGAUAAUUUUGUCAUCAUUG